GAGAUGUCCGACGACAAUUCAAUCGGCUGUUGCGUAAUUAUACAUAGUUCUGCCACAACCAUUUUGUUUUUCACAUGAAGUGUUGACUUUAGUUUAUGAUAACACACAACCACACAUUGAUCACUGACUUUUAUGUGCCCUUUAAGUUUGCAACUUUUAUAUGAAUAAUUUAAACUUAACUCUACGAAUAUGAUAUGAUACGAUACACACACACACACAGACCUACAAAAUGAACAUAAUGGAAACUCUAUUAAAAGUAAUUUUGUAAGCUACUUAAAUAUGAAAAAUGCGAGAGGAAAACUAAGCAAAACGAAAGGAAUGAUUAUUGUGAAAAACGUGAUAGUUUAAACCAUAAAGAGUAAUAUUUACUACUAUUAUUAUAUUAAUAAUUAAUUAUACGAUGCAUAUAUAUGGACAUGUAUGUGUAAAACGGAAACCACAAAAAUUUCUAAACUAACGUGAACAAAAAAAGUAAAAAAUUUUUUUAAAAUUUCCAACACAAAAAAAUGUUAAAAACAAUGAGUAGAAAAACUAAAACAAAAAAAUGAAUAAAAAAAAACUUGAAAAAACCAAUAUCUCUGAGUUUCGUAUAAAUGCCUGGCUUGAGAUGGGUAAAUUCUCUGAUAUUCCGAAUAUUUUGGUACGGGAAACUUUCCAAUUUUAGGUAAAACUGGCUUUUCACUUCAAAUGACACAACAAAAGGACUCGAAACACGCCCAAUCGAUUGUCCCUUUGAGUAAUUAACCCCUUCGAGUGUGUGUGCCAUAUUUCACCCGGCGACAAAAUGCAGGCAGGGGCUCCAACUACGAACAUCAUCCCAUGCAGCAGCUGUGAUCUCCAUCCCCGACACAUGUUGUUGGCUUUGCGGAGCAUUGGGUGUCACAGAUUAACGCCUUACGUGAAUUAUGGCCUGGCUCCUGGCUCCAAGCUCCAGAGCAAACUACUCCGCAAAAUCCGGUCGAGCGCGCGGAAAAAUCAUGUAUAAAACAUAAGCGCCAUCCACAAAGGCAUUCACACUUAAGUUUCUUAUGAACUUUACUAUUCAAUGUACAUAAUUCAACCCAAUUGUAUUAAAUUUCUAAAUUCUCACUUAUGUAUCCUUUUAUUUUUUUGUCCAACCAAAAAUUAAGAGCCACAUUAGUUUUAUAAAUGAAAAGUACUUAAAUCGAUUCCAAUACAAUAGACUAUUUUUCCAAGUGCACCGAAUGGGCGCUUGUGCGGCCUUAUGUCGACAAAAGGACAAGACGCAAAGGCACGCAAGGACCUAAGCCGGAGGACGAAGGACCUAGGACCUGGCACCUAGCAAGCGAUAGCCCGGCGAGGCGUUUAAAAAUUGAAAACCAAUUUUGUAGCGAUUUAAAACAGACGAUUGGAGGGGGCAGAAGUUGAGGUCCUGGGGCGCCACGAAAUGAGUGGCGGUGCGAGCCGGCAGAUGGCGUGUGUGUGCCGGCUGCCGGCUGCCGACUGGCAGUGCGACUUUUCGCACCUCAAGCACAAGUCCUGACCCCGACAGAGCUUAGAUUGUGUUACCAAUAUUUAUGGCUCAAUGGGGAUAAGGGCUUUCGGCUGGCGUGACCGCGACCAGGUCUAAUCACACGUGACCCCUUCUCGUGUGGCAGGGGGCGGGGUCACAUAUCGCAUUCAUAUCGAAGCUAAAUUCAAUGGGCGUUUAACGUGAAAGUGGGCUGAAAAAGUCGUGUGCUUCGGAGUUCGGCUGAUUGGAAUACCCGUCAAUGUUGCAAUUUAUUGGCAUUUUCUGUAAUAACCAGUGACUGCUGCUCCAUUCAACAGCUGAAACUUGCCACACAUGCUGACAAGGAACUUUGUAGAAUAUAAUAUGUUAAAGGGUUGUGCUUUAAUAACGCCUGCUGUUCUACAACCCCUUUGGACAAUCUUUAAUCCUUGCUCUGCUACCGGACAACCCACACAAACUGUCACAAGUUGUCGCUAAACAGACCCCUUCCUAUCCACAUACUGCACCAUGAUACGAGUGCAGAUUGCACACAGAGAACCCGCCCACUUUCCACAGGCUGAACAAACAUUCGGCAUGUGAUGGACCAAAGAGUUUGGGGUCCGGGGAAACCACAGGCAUAACAAUUUGCACUUUGGCUUAUCGUAAUUAUUGCCGCGAUCCAUAAAUAUAAUUUUGAGCUUUCAGCAAUUUUAAUACCGAAAUUUUCGCUUUGGUGCGCCGUCUAAUUAGUUCGACCCGGUCGGGGAAUUCCGGAUUUCGUGUGCCGAACCUGUGUCAAAAUUGUAUCACCGCAACAGAAUUGGCCGGAACCCGGAAUAAAACUGGCAUGGCGUGGCCAAAAAAAAAAAUGAUCCCAAUAGUCGAAAUAAUUAAAUAAAAUAUUUCAUAAAAUGGUUUCCGGUUGCACACUAGCGUCGCGUUCCAUCGAAAAACUAAUUAUAUUUUAGGGUUUUCUAUGAUUGGUGGAAUCAACCGAAGCCAUUGACCAUGGUAAAUACAGUACAUGAGCAACAAAUAUAUCAAAUUUAUAGUCUGGCUGUGAAUUUCAACUGGUUUCCUAUGGCGUCGCAUCCUUUGAACGUAUGAAACAUUAAGCAUGUUAAAAAUACGCAUGCCAAAUUGUAGUUGGCCAUUUGUAUUCGCUAUUCAAAAUAUUUACUUGCGUCAAAUUAUUAUUGGCAAUUAAUGCCUGCCUAUCUGGUAUCAAAAAUCAACACCGAUUGAAAUAAUGAUAUAUUUUAGGCAAACCAAUAUUUUCUGCGAUUAAUUUCCAUGUUUCACUUGCCCAAUUAGACGAGUUGUUCGCUUAGGAGGAGGCCGCAAAUUCGAGGAUCUGUGCCGGAAUGCAAUUCCAUUAAUUCAGACUCAACUCCGCUCUGUUUGGGUCUACUCAAACUAUUUGCAUUGCCAUUAUGUAGCCCACGCACUUGCCAGGACCUUAAUGGGUAGGGCUUACACAGCAAUUACAUUUCAUUUGAAAUGCACUACACAAGUAGACCCAGCACCCACUCCCCGGACCUGACAAAUUGUCACAAAGCUGGCCGAGUACCCACCGACCGACAGGGAGACGGAAUCAAAUUAAUGAUAUGAAUUUCUUAUUUAAGGACAUUAACGCAAGGUCUGCCUCCUGCCGACAACGUUGGGCUGAGAUUCGAACAGAGAUGCCAAUGGGAGUACCGAAACAUAUGUGCGUUGGGCUUAUAUAAAGUUUUCUUCAAGAAUAAAUAUAAUAGUAAAAUUA
Drosophila yakuba is the source of this 3215-nucleotide long non-coding RNA. RefSeq lists it as uncharacterized. NCBI's taxonomy places the organism in Eukaryota, Metazoa, Arthropoda, Insecta, Diptera, Drosophilidae. The transcript is spliced from 2 exons. The record is from RefSeq and is a predicted model, not a curated record.